GGGAAUCUGCCCUUGGGUUCGGAAUAACAGCGGGAAACUGCUGCUAAUACCGGAUGAAGACGAAAGUCCAAAGAUUUAUCGCCUGAGGAUGAGCCCGCGUUGGAUUAGGUAGUUGGUGGGGUAAAGGCCUACCAAGCCGACGAUCCAUAGCUGGUCUGAGAGGAUGAUCAGCCACACUGGGACUGAGACACGGCCCAGACUCCUACGGGAGGCAGCAGUGGGGAAUAUUGGACAAUGGGCGAAAGCCUGAUCCAGCAAUGCCGCGUGAGUGAUGAAGGCCUUAGGGUUGUAAAGCUCUUUUACCCGGGAUGAUAAUGACAGUACCGGGAGAAUAAGCCCCGGCUAACUCCGUGCCAGCAGCCGCGGUAAUACGGAGGGGGCUAGCGUUGUUCGGAAUUACUGGGCGUAAAGCGCACGUAGGCGGCUUUGUAAGUCAGAGGUGAAAGCCUGGAGCUCAACUCCAGAACUGCCUUUGAGACUGCAUCGCUUGAAUCCAGGAGAGGUGAGUGGAAUUCCGAGU
RNAcentral lists this ribosomal RNA (520 nucleotides) under uncultured bacterium. Its description in RNAcentral is "bacterial SSU rRNA". It matches the Rfam family "Bacterial small subunit ribosomal RNA", at positions 120 to 674 of the family's 1533-position model. The record is from RNAcentral.